GGUAACAAAUUGGACAAUUUCUGGUGCGGUGAAACAAGUAAUAACUCGAAGGUUUGUGAAACUCAACUACUUCACCAGGCAAACUUUCACUCAAAAAUGAUUUUGAUAGCGUUGCUUAAUUAACUACAAGUCGAUAUACCUCUCCUUUCCAAGAAACCUCUCGGGGCACGCCACAAUCCAUAGAUUGAAAUUGUGGAAUGUAGAAAAAAACCAUGUAGAGAAGAUGUUGAAAAGUCAAGUCAAUGAUUCUUCGGCCGCAUUUAUUAGAAUAAUAUGUUACUUGCCUUGGUUUAAUUCUCUGGCUAGCCACAUAUAAAAAUGUCAAUGGUCUUUGUUUAUAUUCUAGCAGCUAACUAUUUGCAGCAUUGCUGCUGCUCACAAAAGCCAGCAAAAUCAACAACUUUAAGCAUGUCUAUUAAGAAAACUCUUUCACUAACCAGCAGAGCAGUCAAGGACGAUCAGGUCUCGGCAAAACGCAGGCGGUCUGAUCGAUGCUUUUCAUUCAAGGAGAUAUCGAUAGAACCAGGAAAAUCACUAAAAGACCUGGAUUCAAACAAGUUCAAGAUUGAUAUCAAGAGAUGGGCCAGGGCUGUUGUGGCAUAUGCACGCCAAGUAAGUAGCAGGUUUGGAAGCGCUAGAAAAAGUGGCCGGAUUGGAAGCUCUAGUGAUUCAUCACAGGACUCCAUAUAGUUGAAGAUUUGAAGAACUGGGCCCAGGAAUGUUCACACGUUCAUGACUCCCCCAUCUCGAGGAAGGAAAACAGAAAAAGUUGAUGUCAAGCUACGAGAAUGUGUUCAAGAAAGGCAGGAUCAACCUCGAGGGAGAUCAGAGUUUGGUCCAUCAGCUCGAAACGGAGGCGCAACUUGUGUGCAAAGUCAAUAUCUUGGAGAUGGGGUUCAUGUAUACAAAGACACUAAUCGUUCUGAUUGUUUUUUCAUUCCAUUUAUAAUUAAUACGAUCUGUUGAUGAUAUGAAGCAAGUGGAUUUUGUUUUUUAUUUCUUCCUUCUUUCUUCCAUUAAUAAGACGACAUUGGAAGAUGUUGGGCA
Long non-coding RNA from Populus nigra (black poplar), 1047 nucleotides. RefSeq lists it as uncharacterized. Lineage: Eukaryota; Viridiplantae; Streptophyta; Magnoliopsida; Malpighiales; Salicaceae. The transcript has 2 exons. The record is from RefSeq and is a predicted model, not a curated record.